Molecule: ribosomal RNA, 496 nt
Filed under: uncultured bacterium
Lineage: Bacteria
Description: bacterial SSU rRNA
Rfam family: Bacterial small subunit ribosomal RNA
Source: RNAcentral
GAUCAUGGCUCAGAUUGAACGCUGGCGGCAUGCCUUACACAUGCAAGUCGAACGGCAGCGCGGACUUCGGUCUGGCGGCGAGUGGCGAACGGGUGAGUAAUGUAUCGGAACGUGCCCAGUAGCGGGGGAUAACUACUCGAAAGAGUAGCUAAUACCGCAUACGCCCUACGGGGAAAGGGGGGGAUCGCAAGACCUCUCACUAUUGGAGCGGCCGAUAUCGGAUUAGCUAGUUGGUGAGGUAAAGGCUCACCAAGGCGACGAUCCGUAGCUGGUUUGAGAGGACGACCAGCCACACUGGGACUGAGACACGGCCCAGACUCCUACGGGAGGCAGCAGUGGGGAAUUUUGGACAAUGGGGGAAACCCUGAUCCAGCCAUUCCGCGUGUGCGAUGAAGGCCUUCGGGUUGUAAAGCACUUUUGGCAGGAAAGAAAUCGCAUCAAUUAAUACUUGGUGUGGAUGACGGUACCUGCAGAAUAAGCACCGGCUAACUACGUG